AGUGAACGCUGCGGCGUGCCUAAUACAUGCAAGUCGAACGGAAUUUAAAAGAGCUUGCUCUUUUGAAUUUAGUGGCGCACGGGUGAGUAAUAUAUAGCUAAUCUGCCCCUUGCUGGAGGACAACAGUUAGAAAUGACUGCUAAUACUCCAUACUCCUUUUUACCAUAAGAAAAAUCGGGAAAGAAUUUCGGCAAGGGAUGAGACUAUAUCGUAUCAGCUAGUCGGUGGGGUAACGGCCUACCGAGGCUAUGACGCGUAACUGGUCUGAGAGGAUGAUCAGUCACAUUGGAACUGAGACACGGUCCAAACUCCUACGGGAGGCAGCAGUAGGGAAUAUUGCGCAAUGGGGGAAACCCUGACGCAGCAACGCCGCGUGGAGGAUGACACUUUUCGGAGCGUAAACUCCUUUUGUUAGGGAAGAAUAAUGACGGUACCUAACGAAUAAGCACCGGCUAA
Molecule: ribosomal RNA, 456 nt
Filed under: Campylobacter gracilis
Lineage: Bacteria; Pseudomonadati; Campylobacterota; Epsilonproteobacteria; Campylobacterales; Campylobacteraceae
Description: bacterial SSU rRNA
Rfam family: Bacterial small subunit ribosomal RNA
Source: RNAcentral